AUUGAACGCUGGCGGCAGGCCUAACACAUGCAAGUCGAACGGUAACAGGAAGCAGCUUGCUGCUUUGCUGACGAGUGGCGGACGGGUGAGUAAUGUCUGGGAAACUGCCCGAUGGAGGGGGAUAACUACUGGAAACGGUAGCUAAUACCGCAUAACGUCGCAAGACCAAAGAGGGGGACCUUAGGGCCUCUUGCCAUCGGAUGUGCCAAGAUGGGAUUAGCUAGGAGGUGGGGUAACGGCUCACCUAGGCGACGAUCUCUAGCUGGUCUGAGAGGAUGACGCGCCACACUGGACCUGAGACACGGCCCAGACUCCACCGGGAGGCAGCAGUGGGGAAUAUUGAACAGUGGGCGAAACCCUGUUGAAGCCAGGCCGGGUGUAUGAAGAAGGCCUCCGGGUUGUAAAGUACUUUAAGCGGGGAGGAAGGGAGUAAAGUUAAUACCUGUGGUCAUUGACGUUACCCGCAGAAGAAGCACCGGCUACCUCCGU
RNAcentral lists this ribosomal RNA (489 nucleotides) under uncultured bacterium. RNAcentral describes it as "partial 16S ribosomal RNA". It matches the Rfam family "Bacterial small subunit ribosomal RNA", at positions 30 to 506 of the family's 1533-position model. The record is from RNAcentral.